Molecule: ribosomal RNA, 253 nt
Filed under: uncultured bacterium
Lineage: Bacteria
Description: partial 16S ribosomal RNA
Rfam family: Bacterial small subunit ribosomal RNA
Source: RNAcentral
UACGUAGGGGGCUAGCGUUGUCCGGAAUCAUUGGGCGUAAAGCGCGUGUAGGCGGUCCGGUAAGUCCGCUGUGAAAGUCGGGGGCUCAACCCUCGGAUGCCGGUGGAUACUGUCGGGCUUGAGUACGGAAGAGGCGAGUGGAAUUCCUGGUGUAGCGGUGAAAUGCGCAGAUAUCAGGAAGAACACCCGUGGCGAAGGCGGCUCUCUGGGACGGUACUGACGCUGAGACGCGAAAGCGUGGGGAGCGAACAGG